GACGAACGCUGGCGGCGUGCUUAACACAUGCAAGUCGAACGGAAAGGCCCUGCGUUUGUGGGGUGCUCGAGUGGCGAACGGGUGAGUAACACGUGAGUAACCUGCCCUUGACUGUGGGAUAACUUCAGGAAACUGGGGCUAAUACCGGAUAGGAGCUCCUGCUGCAUGGUGGGGGUUGGAAAGUUUCGGCGGUUGGGGAUGGACUCGCGGCUUAUCAGCUUGUUGGGGGGGUAGUGGCUUACCAAGGCUUUGACGGGUAGCCGGCCUGAGAGGGUGACCGGCCACAUUGGGACUGCGAUACGGCCCAGAAUCCUACGGGAGGCAGCAGUGGGGAAUAUUGCACAAUGGGCGGAAGCCUGAUGCAGCAACGCCGCGUGCGGGAUGACGGCCUUCGGGUUGUAAACCGCUUUCGCCUGUGACGAAGCGUGAGUGACGGUAAUGGGUAAAGAAGCACCGGCUAACUACGUG
This 468-nucleotide ribosomal RNA is filed under the name uncultured bacterium. RNAcentral describes it as "partial 16S ribosomal RNA". It matches the Rfam family "Bacterial small subunit ribosomal RNA", at positions 28 to 507 of the family's 1533-position model. The record is from RNAcentral.